GCGAGGUGGAACAAAGAGUCAUUGGCUAAAUUAAAUAUAAUGGAAACGGUCCAGGCUGUGGUGAAGCAACUGCGAACCAUCCACGGCGCACAGCCCACAGGCCAUCACCAAAGCGUUAUUAAAUCAUGUGGGUCGCGUGUCACGUGAACCACAUUUGGCGCUACUGACGUGGCUGCAAUCCAUUGUUGAUCCUAUUUGAUGGGUGGUGCACAAUAAAAUUUUGAGAU
Molecule: long non-coding RNA, 227 nt
Filed under: Elaeis guineensis (African oil palm)
Lineage: Eukaryota; Viridiplantae; Streptophyta; Magnoliopsida; Arecales; Arecaceae
Description: long non-coding RNA (EGUI_LNC000808)
Source: RNAcentral